Molecule: long non-coding RNA, 220 nt
Filed under: Ananas comosus (pineapple)
Lineage: Eukaryota; Viridiplantae; Streptophyta; Magnoliopsida; Poales; Bromeliaceae
Description: long non-coding RNA (ACOM_LNC043936)
Source: RNAcentral
CACCAGUUUAUGUAGUUUAGUACAGAGAUGUAUAUUAAGUGUUUUUGUAAAUCGUACUUUAUUCUUAUGUGCUGUUUUAAGGUUUGGAUUGUAUAAGUUUAAGCUUAAAAGUCUUACUCUGAUUACCUAGUUGGAAUUAUAUGCUUUUACUAUAUGGUUUGUAGACGCCUUGUGUAGACUUGAGUUGUGGUGUACACGGCGGGUCUGUGCACGCGACCGG